RNAcentral lists this ribosomal RNA (473 nucleotides) under uncultured bacterium. Its description in RNAcentral is "bacterial SSU rRNA". It matches the Rfam family "Bacterial small subunit ribosomal RNA", at positions 917 to 1382 of the family's 1533-position model. The record is from RNAcentral.
GGGCUCACACAAGCGGUGGAGCAUGUUGCUUAAUUCGAGGCAACGCGAAGAACCUUACCUGGGUUUGACAUGCUUGGAUUAACCCCAUGAAAGUGGGGCCACGCCCGCAAGGGUGGAACAAGCACAGGUGCUGCAUGGCUGUCGUCAGCUCGUGCUGUGAAGUGUCGGGUUAAGUCCUCUAACGAGCGCAACCCCUGUCGUCAGUUGCUCACGCGUCAAGGCGAGUACUCUGGCGAGACUGCCGGCGUCAAGCCGGAGGAAGGCGGGGAUGACGUCAAGUCCUCAUGGCCCUUACAUCCAGGGUUGCAAACGUGCUACAAUGGCGCGCACAAAGCGACGCGAGGCCGCGAGGCGGAGCAAAUCGCAAAAAACGCGCCCCAGUUCGGAUUGCAGGCUGCAACUCGCCUGCAUGAAGUCGGAAUCGCUAGUAAUCGGAGAUCAGCUACGCUCCGGUGAAUACGUUCCUGAGCCUU